This is a long non-coding RNA of Daphnia pulex (common water flea), 1043 nucleotides long. RefSeq lists it as uncharacterized. Lineage: Eukaryota; Metazoa; Arthropoda; Branchiopoda; Diplostraca; Daphniidae. The record is from RefSeq and is a predicted model, not a curated record. The transcript is spliced from 3 exons.
GUACUAUUACUCAAAAACUGAUUCUCUUGAAUCAGCAGAUUCGAGUGUUUAUAGCGCCGUCAAGAAGCUGUGUUUUGUGUGUUGAUCGUCUCCACCAUGCACGCGGUAUUCAAGACCAGCAACGUCUUGAUCAAGAAGAAGAAAAGAACGGAGAAGCAAAGAACGACGAUGUAACUACUAAAUAGCGGGUUUUCCACACUGGUACGCUGUAUGACGUCGAGCAAUGCCAAUAAUGGAAGUGCUCUUUGAAGAACUGAGCGUCUAGAUCUUCUUCAGUCAGAUGAAGCUAACGGAUUCGGAAAUCGUCGAAGAAGCAGAGGACAUCACAGCUGAAAACAAACGUGAGUCAAACUCCUGUGGUUAAGUUUUGCAGCUACUCUCAAAAUAUUUUGUCUUGUUUGCUCGUGUUGAUUGAGACUGCUUUUAAAUUAUCUAUCAGGGAAGCCCUAAUAAGAGGUCCAAGAGAAAUUUAUUCGGGUCAACUGAUACCAUGCCACGUACUAAAUCGUUAAUGGUUUUCAGGUAAAAAAUAACCAUGGGAAUAUGGGGUCGCAUAAAUAGAUGUCACUGGUGGAAAAUAAGAAGGUGAUAUGGUAUUUUUCUUUUCUACUGUCUGAUUUUUAAAGAUUUGGUGAGGAACAUCCAAUCUGUCGAUCGCGGUCGCUAACCAAUUGUUAGAAAAACAGCACCAAUAAUGGUAAGAAGGUGUGCUGUGAAGUGGCGUGAUAAUUUUAAUCAUGGACAUUCAGGUUUCAUUUCGUGAUUUGUUAGGUCGAACUCGGAUGUGCUUUAUUCGAGAUUUUAACACAAAUUGCAUUUUAUACAUAAAAAAAUUUAUCAGGAAGCUACAAUGUUACAGCAUUACCCGUACUAUGGCUCGUCCCGGUUUGUAUUGCUUUGUAUAAUCUUUAGUUGAACGCUAAGUAUAUUAUUAGAGGCUAGCUAAGAGAAUUUGGCUAGAUCUUUACAAGAUUAGUGAAUGUGAUUUUUUAAAGAAAUUGUGCCUGUUGCACAUCGAUAUUAUUGGCCUUGAUUCUUAAAGG